CGCGGGAUGGAGCAGUUCGGUAGCUCGUCGGGCUCAUAACCCGAAGGUCGAUGGUUCAAAUCCGCCUCCCGCAA
RNAcentral lists this transfer RNA (74 nucleotides) under Staphylococcus aureus. RNAcentral's name for it is "tRNA-Met". It matches the Rfam family "tRNA". Rfam says of the family: Transfer RNA (tRNA) molecules are approximately 80 nucleotides in length. Their secondary structure includes four short double-helical elements and three loops (D, anti-codon, and T loops). RNAcentral also lists the same sequence under 1 other name. The record is from RNAcentral. Lineage: Bacteria; Bacillati; Bacillota; Bacilli; Caryophanales; Staphylococcaceae.